RNAcentral lists this long non-coding RNA (1326 nucleotides) under Equus caballus (horse). Its description in RNAcentral is "lncRNA (ENSECAG00000044407.1)". Lineage: Eukaryota; Metazoa; Chordata; Mammalia; Perissodactyla; Equidae. The record is from RNAcentral.
UAUAACUCAGGUAGCUCUUGAGAAUAAGCAAUUAAAACAGAUUAGGGAAUGGCUUCUCGUCAUAGCUGUGAGCUAAGUAUCCAGAAACCAGGCUUCUCCUAGGCCCUGCUGUGAAAUAGAAAAAGUUGACACUGAGCUGGGGAGAGGGGUCCUUCCACACCCAAUUUCUGGCCCUUCUUCUUUCUGUUUCAUCUCUUUUCUGUUCUCAUGGACUCUCAAGUUAAAAUGAAUUAGGUUUGGUCACCCGAAGGAAUUGACAGCUGGUAACAGCGUAAUGUGUUAUCUCUCCCACUGGUAUUUGCACUUUGAUAGAAAAUAAUGCCUUAAUUCAAAAGAAUGAAUUGUUUGGGAAAGGCUAAAAGAGAUGAGGGGGUGGGGGAGGGCAGGUGCUCAGCCGCCCGUUGCUCGCUGGGCUAGCUCAAAGAAUUAGCUCAGAAAGGACCCAGACCAUCAAUUCUCAAAGCGCAGGCCCUGGAUGCCUCAGAGACCUUGAGAGCCUGUCAGCAGUUAUGCAAUCGCAGGCCCUCCAGGACCAAUUCAACAGACUCCAUCUCUUAUCAACAGAGUAAUUAAGAAUUGCCUUUGAGAAAAUCGGCAAAGUCACGUAGCCAGGGCAUGUGCAAAAGGAGAAAUCUUGACCUGAAAUGACCCCAGAACCCAAGAUUCUCCUUCCCACAGAACCCAAGGAAGGACAUGACUGGAACUUGAAAGUCAGACUCUUAUUGGAAGUGAGGGGUCCCUCAUUCAGGAAGAUCCAGUGUUGAAAUUCCUUCCUCACCUUGUCAAAAAUGUUUAGAACCCCAUCAUAGAAGUUUAGAACCUGUCACAAACGUUUAAAACCUUACCAUAAAUCCUUGGAGCCCACCGAACAAAACCUGCCCCAGCAGCAUUUCCACGUGCCAGCCUGUUCUCCCUAACCUCUCAAAUUUCACCCCAAAUCCUGAAUCAAGGAGACAGAUCUGAGGGCACAUGCCCCCUGUUCUCUCUGCAGAUCCAUCUCACAGAAUGAAGCUGAUUUCUUUUCCCAAAAGCAUAAUUAACUGUGUUUUUUCAUGCACGUCAGGCAGAGAACCCCAAUUUUGUGUGGUAACAGCUAUACGAGGCCAAACUACUUUCAUAAUAAUAUUAAAAUGUCAUUUGCCAUUUUCACUCUCAUUCUCUCACAAACACAUUGGAGUUUUCCAGAAGCUUCAUGCUGUAGAGUGUCACAACAGAUUGAAUGCAGAAACAGGAGAAUCCAGACAUCUAUGAAGUCACACAUUAAAGAGAUUUCCAAAUGUAAAACAAUCCUUCUUUUCUCAGUAAGCUUUUUUUGGUUUUUGAAUU